AGAAAAUUAAUUUAAUAUAAAAUAUAAAAUUGUCAAUUUUAAAAUACAUAAGUAUUUUCUA
RNAcentral lists this transfer RNA (61 nucleotides) under Siboglinum ekmani. RNAcentral describes it as "tRNA-Asp". Lineage: Eukaryota; Metazoa; Annelida; Polychaeta; Sabellida; Siboglinidae. The record is from RNAcentral.